GAUGAACGCUGGCGGCGUGCCUAAUACAUGCAAGUCGAGCGAACAGAUGAGGAGCUUGCUCCUCUGACGUUAGCGGCGGACGGGUGAGUAACACGUGGAUAACCUACCUAUAAGACUGGGAUAACUUCGGGAAACCGGAGCUAAUACCGGAUAAUAUUUUGAACCGCAUGGUUCAAUAGUGAAAGACGGUCUUGCUGUCACUUAUAGAUGGAUCCGCGCCGCAUUAGCUAGUUGGUAAGGUAACGGCUUACCAAGGCAACGAUGCGUAGCCGACCUGAGAGGGUGAUCGGCCACACUGGAACUGAGACACGGUCCAGACUCCUACGGGAGGCAGCAGUAGGGAAUCUUCCGCAAUGGGCGAAAGCCUGACGGAGCAACGCCGCGUGAGUGAUGAAGGUCUUCGGAUCGUAAAACUCUGUUAUUAGGGAAGAACAAAUGUGUAAGUAACUGUGCACAUCUUGACGGUACCUAAUCAGAAAGCCACGGCUAACUACGUG
Molecule: ribosomal RNA, 497 nt
Filed under: uncultured bacterium
Lineage: Bacteria
Description: partial 16S ribosomal RNA
Rfam family: Bacterial small subunit ribosomal RNA
Source: RNAcentral